AUCUAUGGCCAUGCCACCCUAAACAUGCCCGAUCCCGUCUGAUCUCGGAAGCUGAGCAGGGUCGGGCCUGGUUAGUACUUGGAUGGGAGACCACCUAAGACUAGGUGCAGUAGGCA
Molecule: non-coding RNA, 116 nt
Organism: Pteropus alecto (black flying fox)
Lineage: Eukaryota; Metazoa; Chordata; Mammalia; Chiroptera; Pteropodidae
Source: Rfam